AUCAAGUUGGACAUGUCCUAUGAUUAGAGGGCCUCUUGAUCUUAUAUAGGACAUUCCUUGGGUGUGUUUUGGGUUGUGAAAUAAUGAGUGCAAAAGCUCUAAUUAUUGGCCCCUAAAGGGUCUUCUAAAGUAAGUUGGAUAACUUAAGUUAUUAGGAAACCCAAUACAAGUAGGACUUGUAUUAUGAGAUUGAAUAAGAUUCAAUCCUCAUGCCUAUUUAAAGAAACCUCCCC
Molecule: long non-coding RNA, 233 nt
Filed under: Elaeis guineensis (African oil palm)
Lineage: Eukaryota; Viridiplantae; Streptophyta; Magnoliopsida; Arecales; Arecaceae
Description: long non-coding RNA (EGUI_LNC041973)
Source: RNAcentral